UACGGAGGGUGCAAGCGUUAAUCGGAAUCACUGGGCGUAAAGCGCUCGUAGGCUGUUCGGUAAGUCAGACGUGAAAGCCCUCGGCUCAACCGGGGAACUGCGUUUGAUACUGCCAGACUUGAGUGUCGGAGAGGGUGGCGGAAUUCCAGGUGUAGGAGUGAAAUCCGUAGAUAUCUGGAGGAACACCAGUGGCGAAGGCGGCCACCUGGACGACAACUGACGCUGAGGAGCGAAAGCGUGGGUAGCAAACAGG
RNAcentral lists this ribosomal RNA (253 nucleotides) under uncultured bacterium. Its description in RNAcentral is "partial 16S ribosomal RNA". It matches the Rfam family "Bacterial small subunit ribosomal RNA", at positions 524 to 776 of the family's 1533-position model. The record is from RNAcentral.